GCCUGGCAUCACCUGGAAACGUUCGCACGCUGCACAGAGAUAACUUUAUUCCAAGGAAGCAUUUUCAGCAAUUUAAAACAAAAAUUAAAUUUUAAUGAGGUCCAGUUGUUUGCCAGGCCCUCUACGAUAGCAAAUCUCAUCUGCAUUGCAAAAUCCCAAUGCGAUAGGUCCCGCUGCCAAACACGCAGGAAGAGGCACAGCUCCACAGAUGAACCUACAGAUGAGUUCAGCGUGUGCAUUGGAGAGCACCUCAAGGAAAACGCGGGGACAGGGCUGGCUUGCUGGGAACCCAGAGCUGCCUGCCAGAGCCACUGGCUUUCCCCGGGAGUCAGUUGUGAUGAGUGGCGGGUACCCUGGUGCCUAGAGAGGACAGUGCCACUUGCCUCUUGAGGGGGACUCUGAUCCGGUGGUGGGGCGCAGCCAUGCCUCUGGCGUACCUUGAGGUCCCAAAGCCUGCCCUACAGCACUUCCCUGUCCUGGAGACACCCAUCCUAUGGACGUAGAUCAGCAGUAAAGUGCAC
This 521-nucleotide long non-coding RNA is filed under the name Marmota monax (woodchuck). The record is from RNAcentral. Lineage: Eukaryota; Metazoa; Chordata; Mammalia; Rodentia; Sciuridae.